RNAcentral lists this transfer RNA (86 nucleotides) under Caballeronia arationis. Its description in RNAcentral is "tRNA-???(tc)". Lineage: Bacteria; Pseudomonadati; Pseudomonadota; Betaproteobacteria; Burkholderiales; Burkholderiaceae. The record is from RNAcentral.
UGCCGGAUCGCCGGCAUCGUUGCUCGUUUCGACGAGCGUCGCGGGCGUCUGCAUGCGCAUGCCCGGUGCCAGACCGCAACCGGCAA